CCUACGGGCGGCAGCAGUCGAGAAUCAUUCACAAUGGGGGAAACCCUGAUGGUGCGACGCCGCGUGGGGGAAUGAAGGUCUUCGGAUUGUAAACCCCUGUCAUGUGGGAGCAAAUUAAAAAGAUAGUACCACAAGAGGAAGAGACGGCUAACUCUGUGCCAGCAGCCGCGGUAAUACAGAGGUCUCAAGCGUUGUUCGGAAUCACUGGGCGUAAAGCGGGCGUAGGCUGUUUCGUAAGUCGUGUGUGAAAGGCGCGGGCUCAACCCGCGGACGGCACAUGAUACUGCGAGACUAGAGUAAGGGAGGGGGAAGCGGAAUGCGCGGUGUAGCAGUGAAAUGCGUAGAUAUCGAGAGGAACACUCGUGGCGAAGGCGGGUUCCUGGACAUUAACUGACGCUGAGGCACGAAGGCGAGGGGAGCGAAAGGGAUUAGAUACCCCAGUAGUC
This 446-nucleotide ribosomal RNA is filed under the name uncultured bacterium. RNAcentral describes it as "partial 16S ribosomal RNA". It matches the Rfam family "Bacterial small subunit ribosomal RNA", at positions 338 to 795 of the family's 1533-position model. The record is from RNAcentral.